UGAUUCAUGGCUCAGGACGAACGCUGGCGGCGUGCUUAACACAUGCAAGUCGAACGGAAAGGCCCUUCGGGGUACUCGAGUGGCGAACGGGUGAGUAACACGUGGGUGAUCUGCCCUGCACUUUGGGAUAAGCCUGGGAAACUGGGUCUAAUACCGAAUAUGACCAUGCGCCUCCUGGUGUGUGGUGGAAAGCUUUUGCGGUGUGGGAUGGGCCCGCGGCCUAUCAGCUUGUUGGUGGGGUAAUGGCCUACCAAGGCGACGACGGGUAGCCGGCCUGAGAGGGUGACCGGCCACACUGGGACUGAGAUACGGCCCAGACUCCUACGGGAGGCAGCAGUGGGGAAUAUUGCACAAUGGGCGCAAGCCUGAUGCAGCGACGCCGCGUGAGGGAUGACGGCCUUCGGGUUGUAAACCUCUUUCAGCACAGACGAAGCGCAAGUGACGGUAUGUGCAGAAGAAGGACCGGCCAACUACGUGCCAGCAGCCGCGGUAAUACGUAGGGUCCGAGCGUUGUCCGGAAUUACUGGGCGUAAAGAGCUCGUAGGUGGUUUGUCGCGUUGUUCGUGAAAACUCACAGCUUAACUGUGGGCGUGCGGGCGAUACGGGCAGACUUGAGUACUGCAGGGGAGACUGGAAUUCCUGGUGUAGCGGUGGAAUGCGCAGAUAUCAGGAGGAACACCGGUGGCGAAGGCGGGUCUCUGGGCAGUAACUGACGCUGAGGAGCGAAAGCGUGGGGAGCGAACAGGAUUAGAUACCCUGGUAGUCCACGCCGUAAACGGUGGGUACUAGGUGUGGGUUUCCUUCCUUGGGAUCCGUGCCGUAGCUAACGCAUUAAGUACC
RNAcentral lists this ribosomal RNA (840 nucleotides) under bacterium. Its description in RNAcentral is "bacterial SSU rRNA". It matches the Rfam family "Bacterial small subunit ribosomal RNA", at positions 14 to 868 of the family's 1533-position model. The record is from RNAcentral.